Molecule: ribosomal RNA, 433 nt
Filed under: uncultured bacterium
Lineage: Bacteria
Description: partial 16S ribosomal RNA
Rfam family: Bacterial small subunit ribosomal RNA
Source: RNAcentral
AACGAACGCUGGCGGCAUGCCUAACACAUGCAAGUCGAACGAGACCUUCGGGUCUAGUGGCGCAAGGGUGCGUAACGCGUGGGAACCUGCCCGUAGGUUCGGAAUAACUCCCCGAAAGGGGUGCUAAUACCGGAUAAUGUAUUCGGACAAAAGAUUUAUCGCCUUUGGAUGGGCCCGCGUUGGAUUAGCUAGUUGGUAGGGUAAAAGCCUACCAAGGCGACGAUCCAUAGCUGGUCUGAGAGGAUGAUCAGCCACACUGGGACUGAGACACGGCCCAGACUCCUACGGGAGGCAGCAGUGGGGAAUAUUGGACAAUGGGCGAAAGCCUGAUCCAGCAAUGCCGCGUGAGUGAUGAAGGCCUUAGGGUUGUAAAGCUCUUUUACCCGGGAUGAUAAUGACAGUACCGGGAGAAUAAGCUCCGGCUAACUCCGUG